UGUUCCUACGGGACGCAGCAGCAGUGAGGAAUAUUGGUCAAUGGGCGCGAGCCUGAACCAGCCAAGUCGCGUGAGGGAAGACGGUCCUAUGGAUUGUAAACCUCUUUUGUCGGGGAGCAAAAGACGCCACGUGUAGCGUUCCGAGAGUACCCGAAGAAAAAGCAUCGGCUAACUCCGUGCCAGCAGCCGCGGUAAUACGGAGGAUGCGAGCGUUAUCCGGAUUUAUUGGGUUUAAAGGGUGCGCAGGCGGAAGAUCAAGUCAGCGGUAAAAUUGAGAGGCUCAACCUCUUCGAGCCGUU
This 299-nucleotide ribosomal RNA is filed under the name uncultured bacterium. Its description in RNAcentral is "partial 16S ribosomal RNA". It matches the Rfam family "Bacterial small subunit ribosomal RNA", at positions 334 to 628 of the family's 1533-position model. The record is from RNAcentral.